UUUAGUAAAUUUCAAUAUGUUUUUUGAAAUUGAAGCUUAGAGAUCUACCUCUAAAACUAAAAAAAUUUAAAUCCUAUAGUGAACUAGUACUGCGAAGGAAAGGUGAAAAGAUUUUUAAAUAUUUUAAAAGAUUCUGAAAUUUAAUGCUAUACACAGUUAAAGUAAUAUAUUUUAACGUACCUUUUGCAUAAUGGGCUAGCAAGUUUAUAUAAUUAGCGAGUAAUUUAUUAAAAUAAAAAUACGAAUUGAAAAAAAAUAGUUAAUUAUAUAAGACCCGAAGCUAAGUGAUCUAAUUAUGAUUAGGUUAAGGGUAAUAUUUACCUAAGGACCGAACUCUUAAAUGUUGCAAAAUUUUGGGAUAAAUUGUAAUUAGGGGUGAAAGGCUUAU
This 388-nucleotide ribosomal RNA is filed under the name Tetrahymena rostrata. RNAcentral describes it as "partial large subunit ribosomal RNA". It matches the Rfam family "Bacterial large subunit ribosomal RNA", at positions 408 to 833 of the family's 2925-position model. Lineage: Eukaryota; Ciliophora; Oligohymenophorea; Hymenostomatida; Tetrahymenidae. The record is from RNAcentral.